CCAUGUGUUUAACGGCCGCGGUAUUCCUGACCGCGCGAAGGUAGCGUAAUCACUUGUCUUCUAAAUAAAGACUAGUAUGAACGGCCACACGAGGACUUGACUGUCUCCCCUGUCCAAUCAGUGAAACUGAUCCUCUCGUGCAGAAGCGAGGAUAUACCCAUAAGACGAGAAGACCCUAUGGAGCUUUAAACUCAAUAUUAAUUACCUUUUAACCCCCCUCUAAGGAACUAACAAAUAAUUUUAAAACUUAAUAUUAGUUUUAGGUUGGGGCGACCAUGGAGAAAAAAAUAUCCUCCCUGAUGAUCUUCUAACCAAGAGCCACAGCUCCAAGUAUUAAGAUACUUAACUCCCAUUGACCCAUUUUGUGAUCAACGAACCAAGUUACCCUAGGGAUAACAGCGCAAUCCAUUUCAAGAGUCCCUAUCGACAAAUGGGUUUACGACCUCGAUGUUGGAUCAGGGCAUCCUAGUGGUGCAACCGCUACUAAUGGUUCGUUUGUUCAACGAUUAAAGCCCUACGUG
Molecule: ribosomal RNA, 521 nt
Filed under: Megophrys zhangi
Lineage: Eukaryota; Metazoa; Chordata; Amphibia; Anura; Megophryidae
Description: partial 16S ribosomal RNA
Rfam family: Bacterial large subunit ribosomal RNA
Source: RNAcentral